This 17-nucleotide ribosomal RNA is filed under the name Anopheles nuneztovari. Its description in RNAcentral is "partial 28S ribosomal RNA". The record is from RNAcentral. Lineage: Eukaryota; Metazoa; Arthropoda; Insecta; Diptera; Culicidae.
UGGGCCUCAAAUAAUGU